UUUAUUUGAGGUAAUAUACCAA
This 22-nucleotide unclassified non-coding RNA is filed under the name Mus musculus (house mouse). RNAcentral describes it as "oocyte_clustered_small_RNA11325". Lineage: Eukaryota; Metazoa; Chordata; Mammalia; Rodentia; Muridae. The record is from RNAcentral.